RNAcentral lists this ribosomal RNA (577 nucleotides) under uncultured bacterium. Its description in RNAcentral is "bacterial SSU rRNA". It matches the Rfam family "Bacterial small subunit ribosomal RNA", at positions 338 to 916 of the family's 1533-position model. The record is from RNAcentral.
CCUACGGGAGGCAGCAGUAGGGAAUAUUGGUCAAUGGGUGAGAGCCUGAACCAGCCAUGCCGCGUGCAGGAAGAAGGCCUUCUGGGUUGUAAACUGCUUUUGCCAGGGGAUAAGAAUACCUUGCGAGGUAAAUUGAAGGUACCUGGUGAAUAAGCCACGGCUAACUACGUGCCAGCAGCCGCGGUAAUACGUAGGUGGCAAGCGUUGUCCGGAUUUAUUGGGUUUAAAGGGUGCGUAGGCGGCCCUGUAAGUCAGUGCUGAAAUAUCCCAGCUUAACUGGGAGGGUGGCAUUGAUACUGCGGGGCUAGAGUACAGAUGAGGUAGGCGGAAUUGACGGUGUAGCGGUGAAAUGCUUAGAUAUCGUCAAGAACACCUAUAGCGAAGGCAGCUUACUAGGCUGUAACUGACGCUGAGGCACGAAAGUGUGGGGAUCAAACAGGAUUAGAUACCCAGGUAGUCCACACUGUAAACGUUGAUUACUCGCUGUGUGCGAUAUACAGUACGCGGCCAAGCGAAAGCGCUAAGUAAUCCACCUGGGGAGUACGCCGGCAACGGUGAAACUCAAAGGAAUUGACGG